AACGUAGGGUGCAAGCGUUGUCCAGAAUUACUGGGUGUAAAGGGAGCGCAGGCGGACCGGCAAGUUGGAAGUGAAAACUAUGGGCUCAACCCAUAAAUUGCUUUCAAAACUGCUGGCCUUGAGUAGUGCAGAGGUAGGUGGAAUUCCCGGUGUAGCGGUGGAAUGCGUAGAUAUCGGGAGGAACACCAGUGGCGAAGGCGACCUACUGGGCACCAACUGACGCUGAGGCUCGAAAGCAUGGGUAGCAAACAGG
RNAcentral lists this ribosomal RNA (253 nucleotides) under Gemmiger formicilis. Its description in RNAcentral is "partial 16S ribosomal RNA". It matches the Rfam family "Bacterial small subunit ribosomal RNA", at positions 524 to 776 of the family's 1533-position model. The record is from RNAcentral. Lineage: Bacteria; Bacillati; Bacillota; Clostridia; Eubacteriales; Oscillospiraceae.